RNAcentral lists this ribosomal RNA (455 nucleotides) under uncultured bacterium. Its description in RNAcentral is "bacterial SSU rRNA". It matches the Rfam family "Bacterial small subunit ribosomal RNA", at positions 346 to 793 of the family's 1533-position model. The record is from RNAcentral.
AGGCAGCAGUGGGGAAUUUUGGACAAUGGGCGCAAGCCUGAUCCAGCAAUGCCGCGUGCAGGAUGAAGGCCUUCGGGUUGUAAACUGCUUUUGUACGGAACGAAACGGUCCUCUCUAAUACGGGGGGCUAAUGACGGUACCGUAAGAAUAAGCACCGGCUAACUACGUGCCAGCAGCCGCGGUAAUACGUAGGGUGCGAGCGUUAAUCGGAAUUACUGGGCGUAAAGCGUGCGCAGGCGGUUAUAUAAGACAGAUGUGAAAUCCCCGGGCUCAACCUGGGACCUGCAUUUGUGACUGUAUAGCUAGAGUACGGUAGAGGGGGAUGGAAUUCCGCGUGUAGCAGUGAAAUGCGUAGAUAUGCGGAGGAACACCGAUGGCGAAGGCAAUCCCCUGGACCUGUACUGACGCUCAUGCACGAAAGCGUGGGGAGCAAACAGGAUUAGAUACCCUGGUAG